Molecule: ribosomal RNA, 916 nt
Filed under: uncultured archaeon
Lineage: Archaea
Description: SSU rRNA
Rfam family: Archaeal small subunit ribosomal RNA
Source: RNAcentral
UUUCCGGUUGAUCCUGCCGGACCUGACUGCUAUCGGAUUGAUACUAAGCCAUGCGAGUCUUUGUAGUAAUACAAGGCAUACGGCUCAGUAACGCGUAGUCAACCUACCCUAUGGACAAGAAUAAUCUCGGGAAACUGAGCAUAAUUCUUGAUAGAUCAUAAUGCCUGGAAUGGUUUAUGGUUAAAAUGAUUCGUCGCCAUAGGAUGGGACUGCGGCCUAUCAGCUUGUUGGUGAGGUAAUGGCCCACCAAGGCGAUUACAGGUACGGGCUCUGAGAGGAGAAGCCCGGAGAUGGGUACUGAGACAAGGACCCAGGCCCUAUGGGGCGCAGCAGGCGAGAAAACUUUGCAAUGUGCGAAAGCACGACAAGGUUAGUCCGAGUGAUUUCUGCUAAAGAGAUCUUUUGCUAGUUAUAAAACCACUAGUGAAUAAGGGGUGGGCAAGUUCUGGUGUCAGCCGCCGCGGUAAAACCAGCACCUCAAGUGGUCAGGAUGAUUAUUGGGCCUAAAGCAUCCGUAGCCGGCUCUGUAAGUUUUCGGUUAAAUCUAUGCGCUCAACGUAUGGGCUGCCGAAAAUACUGCAGAGAUAGGGAGUGGGAGAGGUAGACGGUACUCGGUAGGAAGGGGUAAAAUCCUUUGAUCUAUCGAUGACCACCUGUGGCGAAGGCGGUCUACCAGAACACGUUCGACGGUGAGGGAUGAAAGCUGGGGGAGCAAACCGGAUUAGAUACCCGGGUAGUCCCAGCUGUAAACGAUGCAGACUCGAUGAUGCAUUGGCAUAUAGCCAGUGCAGUGUCGCAGGGAAGCCGUUAAGUCUGCCGCCUGGGAAGUACGUACGCAAGUAUGAAACUUAAAGGAAUUGGCGGGGGAGCACCACAAGGGGUGAAGCCUGCGGUUCAAUUGGAUUCAACGCCGGGA